AAAGUGCGAUAAGCAAUGCGAAUUGCAGAAUUCCGCGAAUCAUCAGAUCCUUGAACGCAACUUGCGCCAAGAGGCUCUCCUUUUGGCAUGUCUGUUUCAGUGUCUGAAAACAUCACAUCUUAUCUUAAUGUGGCUGAGAAUGAGGAGUGAUUUUCACUCUCUCAAACUCUUCCAUUAAAGAUGCACAUGUGGGUCUUUGGAUCCCUCAUCGAAUUGGUCACUGUUCCUCAGUGAUUUCGAUAGGUGAAUCUAAUUAUCUAAAUACAUGUAGGAACUUUUACCCCAACGUUCAACUCUGCAUCUGAAAUCAGGCAAGAACACCCGCUGAACUUAA
This 334-nucleotide unclassified non-coding RNA is filed under the name uncultured fungus. Its description in RNAcentral is "sequence contains ITS1". The stretch from base 1 to 105 matches the Rfam family "5.8S ribosomal RNA", at positions 50 to 154 of the family's 154-position model. The record is from RNAcentral. Lineage: Eukaryota; Fungi.